Molecule: long non-coding RNA, 671 nt
Organism: Andrographis paniculata
Lineage: Eukaryota; Viridiplantae; Streptophyta; Magnoliopsida; Lamiales; Acanthaceae
Exons: 2
Source: RefSeq, a predicted model, not a curated record
CAUACUCACAGAUUCCUGGCCGUUGGAUUCAUCAUGAAAUGUAUCUGUCCUGCUGUUCUUGAAGGAGCUUCGCCGACGAUUUGGCGUCAAGAUAAAGAGUGUUCACUUCUUCCAGGUCGACCUGUGGAAGAUAUUAUCUCGGCCGUUCAUUUUGGCGACAAUGCUGCCGGGAGACAGCAACUGGACGGCAUGCCUCAAAGAUGUUUGUUGUCCAAUCUCUCCAAGAUACGCCAGGCUUUCCUCGUCUAUUUUGAGUUCCUCCACCUGUGCUCGGAUAGCUAAUAUCUGGUGCCAUAACUCAACCCAGUGUUUCCGUUUCCUAAGUAAGAAAAAUGUGUAGACAGACAAAUGGGGUUAUUCGUGGAAAGAUGAGAUCAAACCUGUAUCAUUUCGGCAGGGCCGUAGGUUUCUGUCCUUAUAAUGACGAGUCGGUCCAACAAGUCCACCGGUAUGCCAUGAGGACUCGUCAUGUCUGUUCCUCUGCAAACAAUUGGUUUAAUCUAAGAAUUUGUUAUGUGAUUAGGCAAUUGAGGCGUGGGGAAUCAGUUCACGACAAUACCUGACACUACAGAUUCCUCGAUUCGUGGCGAAGAUCACUAUUGGAGAAAGUGAACUUUCUAAAGCGCGAUUUAAAUAAGAAAAGCAUUCCAUAUCCAGCAUAUGAACCUGAA